GUUUCUUAACCCGACUGUUGAUCCGCAUUUAGAAAGAGGAUAAAUUCACAGAGAGAGAAAGAAGAAAAAUACUCAAUUUCGAAAAAAGCCCUAAAUCAAAGCACACAAUGUUGAGCUAAUAAUCUCUGCAAUUUAUAAUAAACCCUCAAUUGAAGCCAUGGCAGGAAAAGAAUUUUGAGAAUACACCAAUCUAACCGAUCCUAAAGGUUUAAAUUGUAAAUGCAAACAAAUAUUUGACAGAUAAGAAAUUUGGUAAAGGGAAGGACAAGAUAGAUGGCGAGGAGGUCACUUUCCAACGCAUUGUUUCCAAGGGAUCCUGGCUUUUCCUACUGGGUGCUUGACAUGUUUAGAUGCAAGAGGUUGCUGUGAAACAUGGAGGUUACCUUCAUGGAAGAGGCGGUAUAGAUUCUUGCUCACAAUAAUUGCUUCCUCCUUUUGGUACAUUAGUUUGUCCAUAUAAUGAAAAUGUGAAAUAGUUUCUUGAACCUUGUUUAAGUUAUAUUUUGCAUCCCUAGACAACGAUGACUUACUUUACCUUAAGGAACAGAUGGAAGUUGACGAAGAUGUGAACGCCUUCUGCAAGGCAGCAAGAUUUACUAAAAAGUGUUUUAGGAGUCAAGCCUAAGAAGCCGAAAGUUUCUAGAAGGUUUGAUGGGAGUAAUUCCAUCUCAAGUACACAAGUUAUUCUUAGUAUUAAUUAUGAUUCCAAUCAGGAGAAGCAGAAAGAUGUCUUGCCGGCUAAACCAAAUGAUACUGAAAAAGAAACAAAGGUAGAUAAUCCGAUAAAAAUCUCGAUAGCAGCAUAUGAGAGUUCAGAUGAUGAAGAUUGAUUCUGUAUGGAUUUGAUUGAUGAAUGAUUCUUAGAUCAUAGUGUUUAAAUCAUCAAAUAUCCUUAGCAUUUGUAAUGUGGCCAUUUUGAUCGAGGAUCCAUCGCAGAGGCCUAAAUGUUGUUACCGUAAAUUAGCUGACAAGUGAAUAUCGAUAAAUUGUAUGUUGUAAUUUUACAUAGUUGAGAUGUGAGGUAUAAUCGUUUUGCAUAAAA
Non-coding RNA from Solanum lycopersicum (tomato), 1042 nucleotides. The record is from RefSeq and is a predicted model, not a curated record. Lineage: Eukaryota; Viridiplantae; Streptophyta; Magnoliopsida; Solanales; Solanaceae.